AGUCACUGACAUUAGAUACCCGCGUAGUCCCAGCCGUAAACUAUGCGCGUUAGGUGUACUGGUGACCACGAGUCACCGGGUGCCGAAGGGAAACCGUGAAACGUGCCGCCUGGGAAGUACGGUCGCAAGGCUGAAACUUAAAGGAAUUGGCGGGGGAGCACCGCAACGGGAGGAGCGUGCGGUUUAAUUGGAUUCAACACCGUAAAACUCACCAGGGAAGACUGUUACAUGAAGGCCGAGAUGAAGACUCUGCUAGAUUUUCAG
Molecule: ribosomal RNA, 264 nt
Filed under: uncultured archaeon
Lineage: Archaea
Description: partial 16S ribosomal RNA
Rfam family: Archaeal small subunit ribosomal RNA
Source: RNAcentral